UACAGAGGUCCCAAGCGUUGUUCGGAUUCACUGGGCGUAAAGGGUGCGUAGGUGGUCAGGUAAGUCUGAUGUGAAAUCUCUGAGCUCAACUCAGAAAUGACAUUGGAUACUAUCUGGCUAGAGGGUCGGAGGGGGGACUGGAAUUCUCGGUGUAGCAGUGAAAUGCGUAGAUAUUGAGAGGAACACCAGUGGCGAAGGCGAGUCCCUGGACGACUCCUGACACUGAGGCACGAAAGCUAGGGGAGCAAACAGG
Molecule: ribosomal RNA, 253 nt
Filed under: uncultured bacterium
Lineage: Bacteria
Description: partial 16S ribosomal RNA
Rfam family: Bacterial small subunit ribosomal RNA
Source: RNAcentral